GCUAGUAUGUGCAAGUCUUUGAGAGUUUUGCCAAAACCUUAGAUGGUUCCACUUAUAAUAGAAUAGAGAAGGCAGUGAACAAGUUGUCGUUGUCAAUAGAUAUACCUCUCAUCCUCCCAAAUACAAUAAACACUAUAGUUAAUGGGUCAAAUCUGAAUGAAACUAAUGGCUAAAUAUGGUCAACUACAUUGGAAUUGUAGAAGGGCAUGUAUUUUGGUUGGGACUCAUGGAAGAUGUGUUGGGCGCUUAGACCCACGGAAGCCAGUGUCGGUCAGGACAUCACUACUUCAUUAGCAGCAGAGAUCUCUUAACAACAUGUCUACAUCCACGGAAGCUGGCUAGCUGAGACGUUUCUUUUUAAAAGGCAAUGGCUACUUGCAAUACCUAAAUACCUUUUCUCCUAAUCUGCAGCGGGGCCGGCCUUUCACUGACCACAUGCAUGCUCGCCGGAUCGAUCAACCAGCUCACACAGCACCGUGCCUUGUUCCCAAUCCCAUCCACAUCCACCGGUAGACAGAAGAAGCAGAUGGAUCGGUGACCAGCGAAAAAAAAAAACCACGCCUUCUUUCCAUCGUAAACAGCGCACCGCGCUCCCGAGGCUGACAGUUAAACUGCUUUACCCGAUGCCUUUCCGGUUCCCGUAGAAAUGGAAAUUUACGGGCACUUGCCGUUGAUCAGACUUUAACUAUCUGAUGCUAGCUGUAACACCGCUGCUGCGGGCGAAUGCAGAUCCGGAGCAGACAGGC
RNAcentral lists this long non-coding RNA (746 nucleotides) under Brachypodium distachyon (stiff brome). Its description in RNAcentral is "long non-coding RNA (BDIS_LNC003537)". The record is from RNAcentral. Lineage: Eukaryota; Viridiplantae; Streptophyta; Magnoliopsida; Poales; Poaceae.